UCGCCAAACGCAAGGGAUAGUGAAUGGCAUACGCGACUGCGAAUCCUGCGAAUGUAUGUGCUACCAUUUGAAUUUUACGCGAGUGACUGCGACUUGCGUGCGGGACUGCGAACUGUACGGCCAACCGUGCAAUACAAAAGCUUUACAAUAGCAGUACACGAGCUGUACAAUAUGCAAAGUGCACCGCCGUUGCACAUGACCUGCAGGUUCACAGCUGUGAACCACAGCACUCACUGCUUUCUUCAUACAUUUGAACUAUCCCUGAAUGACAGGUACGAAUUCAUAGCAAAUCCUAACAUGACCGAUGCAACUCAGCCAGCAACUCUUACCAUGGAAAAGGGUCCAACAGUCUAACGUCAGAAAAAAUGGACACACAAAUGUUAAGCGCAUGUAAAUGUACCACAAUACAGCCACUAUUGUCUUCUUAUUAAAGCGCUCAAUCCUCGCCUCCGCUGAUGUCAUCUUCACGAACGACGGCAUAUAUCUGCAUAUCAAAGGAUCACAACAAAUCAUUGUUUAGGCAGGAAAACAUAGUUGUGAGCAUGUUACGUACAAUGACGGCUGUAGGUGUAACACCGGCGUAACGUGCCACGAAAUAAGGCAAUAAAAAGCAUUUAGUUAAUAGCCAUGGUCUUGCAACCAGAGGCUUCAUACCUCCGAACGGCCGCUUCGUGGCCUGCCACGUCCCGUUUGAGCCCGACUCUUGUUCAUAUCCUUACCACCAUCCUUGCGCUUGUCCUAUUCCUUGCGAUUCUCCUGCUCGUGUCCUUGGAAUGUAAAAUGACAAGGCAUAAUGUCAGUGUAUGCACCUGCAUGAUGGCCACUUACUGCCGGUGGCGUCUAGUCCCCCUUUUCCUGCUUUCCCCUGCUUGCCUGCGAAUGAAUGCUGCGCCAUUAUAAAGACAGAUUCUUGUUAAGCAGCCCCUCGCACAAAUGUGUCCGGUCGUACUUCGCGAAUAAAAGGUCCGUACAUCACGCCCCAAAAGCCAGGAGCGAAUUUCACCGCGCGGGUGCGCGCGUGCGAUUCGCAAAAUGCGCGUGUACAAGUGUAUAUAAAUUUUCUUAGAAGAAAGGCCN
This 1077-nucleotide long non-coding RNA is filed under the name Volvox carteri. Its description in RNAcentral is "long non-coding RNA (VCAR_LNC001427)". The record is from RNAcentral. Lineage: Eukaryota; Viridiplantae; Chlorophyta; Chlorophyceae; Chlamydomonadales; Volvocaceae.